Molecule: non-coding RNA, 363 nt
Organism: Urocitellus parryii (Arctic ground squirrel)
Lineage: Eukaryota; Metazoa; Chordata; Mammalia; Rodentia; Sciuridae
Source: the annotation of a RefSeq genome assembly
AUGAAGAGUGUGCUCAGCUGGGUUUUCCUGGUGGCUGUUUUCAAAGGUGUCCAGUGUGAGGUGCAGCUGGUGGAGACUGGGGGAGGCCUGGUGCAGCCUGGGGGUUCCCUUCGACUCUCCUGUGUAGCCUCUGGAUUCACCUUCAGUGACUACAACAUGGACUGGGUGCGCCAGGCUCCAGGGAAGGGGCUGGAGUGGGUUGGUCUUAUAAAAAACAAAGCUAAUAGUUAUAGCACAGUAUACGCUGCAUCUGUAAAAGACCGAUUCACCAUCUCCAGAGAUGACGCCAAGAACACACUGUACCUGCAAAUGAGCAGCCUGAGAACCGAGGACUCGGCCACCUAUUACUGUGCUAGAAACACA